CACGUAGGGCGCAAGCGUUGUCCGGAAUUAUUGGGCGUAAAGAGCUCGUAGGCGGACUGUCACGUCCGCUGUGAAAAGCUAGGGCUUAACCCUGGCCUUGCAGUGGAUACGGGCAGACUAGAGGUAGGUAGGGGAGAAUGGAAUUCCCGGUGUAGCGGUGAAAUGCGCAGAUAUCGGGAGGAACACCGGUGGCGAAGGCGGUUCUCUGGGCCUUACCUGGCGCUGAGGAGCGAAAGCGUGGGGAGCGAACAGG
This 253-nucleotide ribosomal RNA is filed under the name uncultured bacterium. RNAcentral's name for it is "partial 16S ribosomal RNA". It matches the Rfam family "Bacterial small subunit ribosomal RNA", at positions 524 to 776 of the family's 1533-position model. The record is from RNAcentral.